Molecule: ribosomal RNA, 443 nt
Filed under: uncultured bacterium
Lineage: Bacteria
Description: partial 16S ribosomal RNA
Rfam family: Bacterial small subunit ribosomal RNA
Source: RNAcentral
CCUACGGGAGGCAGCAGUGGGGAAUAUUGGGCAAUGGGCGCAAGCCUGACCCAGCAACGCCGCGUGAAGGAAGAAGGCUUUCGGGUUGUAAACUUCUUUUCUCAGGGACGAAGCAAGUGACGGUACCUGAGGAAUAAGCCACGGCUAACUACGUGCCAGCAGCCGCGGUAAUACGUAGGUGGCAAGCGUUAUCCGGAUUUACUGGGUGUAAAGGUCGUGUAGGCGGGGACGCAAGUCAGAUGUGAAAACCACGGGCUCAACCUGUGGCAGGCAUUUGAAACUGUGUUUCUUGAGUACUGGAGAGGCAGGCAGAAUUCCUGGUGUAGCGGUGAAAUGCGUAGAUAUCAGGAGGAACACCAGUAGCGAAGGCGGUCUGCUGGACAGCAACUGACGCUGAGGCGCGAAAGCGUGGGGAGCAAACAGGAUUAGAUACCCGAGUAGUC